UACAGAGGGGGCAAGCGUUGUUCGGAAUUACUGGGCGUAAAGGGCGCGUAGGCGGCCUUCUAAGUCGAACGUGAAAUCCCCGGGCUCAACCCGGGAACUGCGUCCGAUACUGGAAGGCUUGAAUCCGGGAGAGGGAUGCGGAAUUCCAGGUGUAGCGGUGAAAUGCGUAGAUAUCAGGAGGAACACCGGUGGCGAAGGCGGUUCUCUGGGCAUUACCUGACGCUGAGGAGCGAAAGUGUGGGGAGCGAACAGG
Molecule: ribosomal RNA, 253 nt
Filed under: uncultured bacterium
Lineage: Bacteria
Description: partial 16S ribosomal RNA
Rfam family: Bacterial small subunit ribosomal RNA
Source: RNAcentral